GUGCCAGCAGCCGCGGUAAUACAGAGGGGGCAAGCGUUAUUCGGAAUUAUUGGGCGUAAAGGGCGCGAAGGCGGUCGUGCAAGUGGAAGCAGAAAUCCCUCGGCUCAACCGAGGAACUGCCUUUCAAACUGCUUGACUUGAGUCCGGGAGAGGUCAGUGGAAUUCCCAGUGUAGCGGUGAAAUGCGUUGAUAUUGGGAGGAACACCAGUGGCGAAGGCGGCUCACUGGACCGGAACUGACGCUGAGGCGCGAAAGCGUGGGGAGCAAACAGGAUUAGAUACCCCGGUAGUCC
Molecule: ribosomal RNA, 292 nt
Filed under: uncultured prokaryote
Description: partial 16S ribosomal RNA
Rfam family: Bacterial small subunit ribosomal RNA
Source: RNAcentral